GACGAACGCUGGCGGCGUGCUUAACACAUGCAAGUCGAACGGAAAGGCCCUGCUUUUGUGGGGUGCUCGAGUGGCGAACGGGUGAGUAACACGUGAGUAACCUGCCCUUGACUUUGGGAUAACUUCAGGAAACUGGGGCUAAUACCGGAUAGGAGCUCCUGCUGCAUGGUGGGGGUUGGAAAGUUUCGGCGGUUGGGGAUGGACUCGCGGCUUAUCAGCUUGUUGGUGGGGUAGUGGCUUACCAAGGCUUUGACGGGUAGCCGGCCUGAGAGGGGGACCGGCCACAAUGGGACUGAGAUACGGCCCAGACUCCUACGGGAGGCAGCAGUGGGGAGUAUUGCACAAUGGGCGGAAGCCUGAUGCAGCAACGCCGCGUGCGGGAUGACGGCCUUCGGGUUGUAAACCGCUUUCGCCUGUGACGAAGCGUGAGUGACGGUAAUGGGUAAAGAAGCACCGGCUAACUACGUG
Molecule: ribosomal RNA, 468 nt
Filed under: uncultured bacterium
Lineage: Bacteria
Description: partial 16S ribosomal RNA
Rfam family: Bacterial small subunit ribosomal RNA
Source: RNAcentral